GCAAAGAGUCGGACACAAGUGAGUAACUGAACUGAACUGAACUGAACCUUGAAUAUUCUCAGAUCCCAUGAUUCCCCUUCAAAGAAUAAAGAGCAUAUGACCCUUCAUUUAAAAUAAACUCCAGAUCCCUGUUCAGUGUUAUUCAUAACUCAAUGUGUGGUCCUGGCCCUAUUAAGAAAUCCCUCUAAAUCCCUUCUUUAGACCCCCUGGAAGUCAACGUGGAACAGCCUGUGGCAGCCAGAGAUGGAGAAACUCAACCCAGGUCUUAACGCAGAAACGUAAACACUGAAAAGGCACGCACCAGAGCCCCACUGUGAUGGCUCACAGGCAGAGGCGGGGAAGGCGACAACCGACAGGCACCUCCAUUCCCAUCUGGGACCUCAUUCCAGGCAAGCAGGACACUCACGCCCUCCUGGGGUCAGGCAAGGCUGACAGAAGGCUGCCCUUGCUGCCAGUCUCCCUCCUGACUGGCUGGUUGGCAGGGAGAGCAGCAGAAAACACCCUCAAUCCCUGUUUCUGAGCAGGGAUCAAGACACUGUCCCCAGUCCAAGAUAAGGACCAGGAACCUUCAGAAGUCAGAGAAUAACCAGAAGCUCUAACUGGGGGUCCCCAAGGGACAAAGGUCUGACCCCAUAUCAAGCCUCUGGGACCCACACUCACCAUCUCAUUCGGACCUGGAAAGCUGCCCAACGGGUAUCGAGAGCUGCUAAUGCCUGGCUCAUAGGAUCCAGCGUUACUUAAUUUACACAUCGGUACUGCAUGGCGGAAAGAGGGUCACCCGCCUGAAAGUGGUCUGAAGCAAUAAAUGGUAAUUUCCAGAGAUGCUUAGCGCCGUUAAUCACAGUGCCAUGGCCUUGAGGGAAAGUUGGGUCCAUUCUAAGCUCAGACAGUAAACAGGAAAAGACUUUGCCUAAGAUGCGCUGAGACCACGUAGAGGACAAGGUGUCAGAGGAGAACGUGAAAGAAAGUGAAAGUCGCUCAGUCAUGUCCGUCUCUUUGUGACCCCAUGGACUAUAUAGUCCUUGGAAUUCUCCAGGCCAGANNNNNNNNNNNNNNNNNNNNNNNNNNNNNNNNNNNNNNNNNNNNNNNNNNNNNNNNNNNNNNNNNNNCCCACAUUGCAGGCAGAUUCUUUACCAGCUGAGCCUCAAGGGAAGCCCAGAGAAUGUGAGGGAAGGGCAUCUUUGGGGCCCCUGGAAGGAUCAAGGAGCUCUGAGAGAGAGUCCCAGACCCAGGGGCAAAUCCUUCAGGGUCGCACUGGGCGAGGGCCUGAAAGGGGCCAUUGGAUUGAUGCUUCGAGGUCCCCGGUGACCUGGGCUAGGGUGGCUCCAGGACAGAUGUGGCGAGUUCCCGGGUUUCGGGGCUGAUGGAGGAAGAGGCAGGACCACGAGGUGGCAGUGUUGCACAACAAGCUUUGCUGGGUGACGCUUGGACAGAUUGCAGGAGGGGAGGGCCCUCUUAGCAGGAGGAUUCCCCCCACCCCUCAUCCCCCCACUCCCAGCCCC
This 1502-nucleotide long non-coding RNA is filed under the name Capra hircus (goat). Its description in RNAcentral is "lncRNA (ENSCHIG00010008119.1)". The record is from RNAcentral. Lineage: Eukaryota; Metazoa; Chordata; Mammalia; Artiodactyla; Bovidae.